AUUUUAUAGAAAAAGAAAUUGAAGUGUCAUGAACUUGAAGCUUCAAAUAACUUGUCUAAGGAAUGCUAUCAGCUGUGGGUAGCAGGGGCAGCAGAGCAGGGGCUUGACCCUGGACCUCUGCAGAUUCUAGAGCCUGAACUCUUCACUGUGGAGGGUUUGGAGUAUGAGGUCUCUCAGAUGCUGACUGUUCUUCUUUCUUAUGAGUUUGGCAGAAAAUGCACUUUCUUUGGCUCCAGAUGGCCACUGUAGCCAGCCCAGGUCCAUGUGGAAUGAAGGCCAAGGCAGGACUCCUGGUACCUGGUGGUGGGAAUUCACUGUGCACAGCCAACCUGACCUGGAGAAGCAACCAGAUAAGAACCUGAAGGAUGGCCAGCAUUUCUGCAGUAGAGGAGCCCUCUGGGACUGGCAGCAGCUGCUUUCUAAAUUGGUAUGGUAACCACCUGGUUCCGGUUGGUCUGGGACUUUCCUGAUUUUAGCACUGAAAUUCCCACGUCUUGGGAAACCCCUCAGUGCUGAGCAAUCUGGAAUGGUUGGUCACCUUGCCAGGUUGCCCUUCACACUCGGGAAUUCCAGAACAUUUGGCUGGUGCAGUAGGCCCGUGGUCCUCAAGUUCAGAUGAAGAAUGACGACAUCGGCAAGCCUGCAUGGCCAGUUACCAAUGAGGACACCUGGUCCCCCUCAGACUGAGCCAGGAAGAAUCAAGUGUGGCCAAGAAUCAGUGCUUUCCCCAGGGCCUUUUUGUGUACAUUGAAGUUUGGAUAAAAUUCUCAGAUGAUAAAAUUCCAGUCCCAGGACGGGGAUGGUGAUAACAGCCCCCGUGGUCUGGGUGUGGCAGGACAGGACCAUUUGUCUUUGGAUAAUAAAUGACCACCUCAGGUUCCUCGUGCAUUAAGUAGAGAUAAUUAAAGGAUAUGCAGCCCAGAGCCCCUGACGUCUACUGAAUGUCUGGUAAAUGUUACUUCUCCUUCUUUAGGCCUUGAGAGCCACUUCAAGAACCGAGCAUAAAAAGCAGUUUUGCUCAUGUAGCAAAAUAUUUUCCCAGGAGGACCCCAAUUAAAAAAAUCUUUCAUAAAGUUCUUGAACUUAGUAUCUGAAAAAUAAAGAAUAUGCCUUGUUUACUUCUAGAUUAUUCCUCUUCGUGACUCAGCUGUUAGAAAGCUCAAGUAGUGAGGACUUAAUCAUAUAAAAAGCUACUCUUGGGCAGCAAGUUUGUAUUGUCCUUUAUUUUCAGUGCUGGGGAUUGAACCCAGGACCUCCAGCUCAUGGGAUCUACGGCUGAGCCCCAUUCGCAGUCCUAUAGGUAAUCUUUUGAUUUUUUUUUUUGGGUGGUCCUG
Molecule: long non-coding RNA, 1334 nt
Filed under: Marmota monax (woodchuck)
Lineage: Eukaryota; Metazoa; Chordata; Mammalia; Rodentia; Sciuridae
Source: RNAcentral